CUUGAUGAAGUUAGUAAUGUCGUAUAUCAAGCAUCAAAAAUCACAAAAUACAUAUACUACCAUUGCUACCCAUUGCAUUUGAUGAGAAAAUUUACUGGAAGAAAGGAAAUACUUCGACCCGCUCCUACUCAUUUUGCUACUAACUUUAUUGCUUUACAAGGCAUAUUGGCCCAAAAGGAUCCGUUAAGAGCAAUGGCGACAUCUAAAAAAUGGACUUUAUCAGCAUAUGCAAAGGAAGGUAAAGGAAAGAGAAUUGUUGAUGACGUACUUGAUUCUGUGUUUUGGAAAGAGUGUGCUACUAUUGUGCAUCUUACUGAGCCCCUCGUUCGUGUUUUACGAUUGUUGAUAGUGAUGAAAAGCCUUCGAUAGGCUACUUGUAUCAAGCUAUUCAUGUGGCAAAAAGUGAGAUGGAGCGCAUGUUUCAAAGAAAGAAGAAUAGAGUGGCUCCUUACUUGCAAAUUAUUCAGAAUUGAUGGGAUAGUCAAUUACAUAAAAAUCUUCAUGCCGCUAGGUAUUGGUGAAACCCUUCUUUCCAAUACAAUAAUCCUGAUAUGGAAAAUUAUAGACAAACUAUUUCAAGACUUUUAGAUGUAAUCGAGAGAUAUGCUUAGGGUCAACCUGAUUUAAGAAGCAAAUUGACUAGUGAAAUGAGAUUAUUUAGGCAAGCACAUGGUGACU
This 678-nucleotide long non-coding RNA is filed under the name Olea europaea subsp. europaea. The record is from RNAcentral. Lineage: Eukaryota; Viridiplantae; Streptophyta; Magnoliopsida; Lamiales; Oleaceae.